This 726-nucleotide long non-coding RNA is filed under the name Triticum aestivum (bread wheat). Its description in RNAcentral is "long non-coding RNA (TAES_LNC024659)". Lineage: Eukaryota; Viridiplantae; Streptophyta; Magnoliopsida; Poales; Poaceae. The record is from RNAcentral.
AAAACAUUUUUUUCUCAUCUUCAUGUGUUUUACCAUUAUACUUUAUACUCCAUCUAGCCAAUAAGUACACCACCAUUUCAUACUUAUUACAUGGAAAUACACCAUACAGUGAUACGAUUCUUCAUCAGAAGGCAAAAAGAAAGGACUACAUAACUGAACUCAGAUUGUAAACUUCAUGCAUUGAAUAGCAGCAAUGGACACCCCAGCACCCAUCACUCUCCUGGAAUAAUAACAGAGGAAAUAACAAGCUGAAUUAACUAACACCAUUACAUACACUACGCGUGUCAAGGAACUGAACUUUGUAUUUUACAAAAAAGCUCAAUCAUGCACGUACCUUCAUCCAUUACAUACACUACAUGUGUCAAGGAACUGAACUGGGACCUUUGUGCAUGCACCUGAUAACUCAGCCUCUUCCUCCCCUUCAAAAAAGAAAUAAAUCAUAAUUUACGUUGAAGCGGUCAUCCAUGGUGGAUUUUUUCCAGAUUUUCCAUCCAAUAAGGGACAGAGAUUGUUGACUAGUGACAAGAAAAAGAGAAGGGCAUGUAUAGUGUCACACACACACACACCAACCAACCGUGUUCCCUUUUUCCAUCUGGACUCAACAUGUUCCUUCAUCAGUCUUUCCAGGAAAUUGCCAGGCUCAGAUCCCUUUGCUUUGGUGACUUUUUUUUAUCAUUACAUGUAACGGUGAAGAAUAGGACAACUUGUUACGUCUGUUAGUUUUGG